RNAcentral lists this ribosomal RNA (253 nucleotides) under uncultured bacterium. Its description in RNAcentral is "partial 16S ribosomal RNA". It matches the Rfam family "Bacterial small subunit ribosomal RNA", at positions 524 to 776 of the family's 1533-position model. The record is from RNAcentral.
UACAAAGGUCUCAAGCGUUGUUCGGAUUCAUUGGGCGUAAAGGGUGCGUAGGCGGCGCGGUAAGUCGGGUGUGAAAUCUCGGGGCUUAACUCCGAAACUGCAUUCGAUACUGCCGUGCUUGAGGACUGGAGAGGAGACUGGAAUUUACGGUGUAGCGGUGAAAUGCGUAGAUAUCGUAAGGAAGACCAGUGGCGAAGGCGGGUCUCUGGACAGUUCCUGACGCUGAGGCACGAAGGCCAGGGGAGCAAACGGG